UACGUAGGUGGCAAGCGUUGUCCGGAUUUACUGGGCGUAAAGGGCGUGCAGGCGGUUUGUUAAGUGCAGAGUGAAAGCUCCCGGCUCAACUGGGAGAGGUCUUUGCAUACUGGCAAACUCGAGGGAGGCAGAGGAAAGUGGUAUUCCCGGUGUAGUGGUGAUAUGCGUAGAUAUCGGGAGGAACACCUGUGGCGAAGGCGGCUUUCUGGGCCUUACCUGACGCUGAGACGCGAAAGCGUGGGGAGCGAACCGG
Molecule: ribosomal RNA, 253 nt
Filed under: uncultured bacterium
Lineage: Bacteria
Description: partial 16S ribosomal RNA
Rfam family: Bacterial small subunit ribosomal RNA
Source: RNAcentral